Molecule: ribosomal RNA, 267 nt
Filed under: Klebsiella pneumoniae
Lineage: Bacteria; Pseudomonadati; Pseudomonadota; Gammaproteobacteria; Enterobacterales; Enterobacteriaceae
Description: partial 23S ribosomal RNA
Rfam family: Bacterial large subunit ribosomal RNA
Source: RNAcentral
UGGUGUUACUGCGAAGGGGGGACGGAGAAGGCUAUGUUAGCCGGGCGACGGUUGUCCCGGUUUAAGCAUGUAGGCUGGUUGUCCAGGCAAAUCCGGAUAAUCAAGGCUGAGGUGUGAUGACGAGGCACUACGGUGCUGAAGUAACAAAUGCCCUGCUUCCAGGAAAAGCCUCUAAGCAUCAGGUAACAUUAAAUCGUACCCCAAACCGACACAGGUGGUCAGGUAGAGAAUACCAAGGCGCUUGAGAGAACUCGGGUGAAGGAACUA